AGUCAAGUAAUUAAGUGCAUGUGGUGGAUGCCUUGGCAGUCAGAGGCGAUGAAAGACGUGAUAGCCUGCGAAAAGCUCCGGGGAGGCGGCAAAUAUCCUUUGAUCCGGAGAUGUCUGAAUGGGGGAACCCACCUACUUUAAGGUAGGUAUUGCAACAUGAAUACAUAGUGUUGCAAGGCGAACGAGGGGAAGUGAAACAUCUCAGUACCCUUAGGAAAAGAAAUCAAUUGAGAUUCCCUCAGUAGCGGCGAGCGAACGGGGAUCAGCCCAUUAAGUUAUGUGUGUUUUAGUGGAACGCUCUGGGAAGUGCGAACGUAGAGGGUGAUAUUCCCGUACACGAAAGGGCACACAUAAUGAUGACGAGUAGGGCGAGGCACGUGAAACCUUGUCUGAAUAUGGGGGGACCAUCCUCCAAGGCUAAAUACUCCUGACUGACCGAUAGUGAACCAGUACCGUGAGGGAAAGGCGAAAAGAACCCCUGUGAGGGGAGUGAAAUAGAUCCUGAAACCGCAUGCAUACAAGCAGUGGGAGCACCUUCGUGGUGUGACUGCGUACCUUUUGUAUAAUGGGUCAGCGACUUAUAUUCAGUAGCGAGGUUAACCGUAUAGGGGAGCCGUAGAGAAAUCGAGUCUUAAUAGGGCGUUUAGUUGCUGGGUAUAGACCCGAAACCAGGCGAUCUAUCCAUGAGCAGGUUGAAGGUUGGGUAACACUAACUGGAGGACCGAACCCACUGUCGUUGAAAAGCCAGGGGAUGACUUGUGGAUAGGGGUGAAAGGCUAAUCAAGCCUGGUGAUAGCUGGUUCUCCCCGAAAGCUAUUUAGGUAGCGCCUCGGACGAAUACCAUAGGGGGUAGAGCACUGUUUCGGCUAGGGGGUCAUCCCGACUUACCAAACCGAUGCAAACUCCGAAUACCUAUGAGUACUAUCCGGGAGACAGACUGCGGGUGCUAACGUCCGUAGUCAAGAGGAAAACAAUCCAGACCGCCAGCUAAGGCCCCAAAAUCAUAGUUAAGUGGGAAACGAUGUGGGAAGGCAUAGACAGCUAGGAGGUUGGCUUAGAAGCAGCCACCCUUUAAAGAAAGCGUAAUAGCUCACUAGUCGAGUCGGCCUGCGCGGAAGAUGUAACGGGGCUAAAACUAUGUGCCGAAGCUGCGGAUGUAUACUUUGUAUACGUGGUAGGGGAGCGUUCUGUAAGCCGAUGAAGGUGUGUUGAGAAGCAUGCUGGAGGUAUCAGAAGUGCGAAUGCUGACGUGAGUAACGACAAAACGGGUGAAAAACCCGUUCGCCGAAAGACCAAGGGUUCCAGUCCAACGUUAAUCGGGGCUGGGUGAGUCGACCCCUAAGGCGAGGCCGAAAGGCGUAGUCGAUGGGAAAAUGGUUAAUAUUCCAUUACUUCUGUGCAAUGCGAUGAGAGGACGGAGAAGGCUAAAUCAGCCUGGCGUUGGUUGUCCAGGUGAAAGGAUGUAGGCAUGUAUCUUAGGCAAAUCCGGGGUACUCUAUGCUGAGAUCUGAUAGCAAGCUGUACUUGUACAGCGAAGUGGUUGAUGCCAUGCUUCCAGGAAAAGUCUCUAAGCUUCAGUUACACAGGAAUCGUACCCGAAACCGACACAGGUGGUCAGGUCGAGUAGACCAAGGCGCUUGAGAGAACUCUGCUGAAGGAACUAGGCAAAAUGGUACCGUAACUUCGGGAGAAGGUACGCUGUUGUUGGUGAUGGAACUCGCUUCCUGAGCUGACGACAGCCGCAGAAACCAGGCCGCUGCAACUGUUUAUUAAAAACAUAGCACUCUGCAAACACGAAAGUGGACGUAUAGGGUGUGAUGCCUGCCCGGUGCUGGAAGGUUAAUUGAUGGGGUUAGCGUAAGCGAAGCUCUUGAUCGAAGCCCCAGUAAACGGCGGCCGUAACUAUAACGGUCCUAAGGUAGCGAAAUUCCUUGUCGGGUAAGUUCCGACCUGCACGAAUGGCAUAAUGAUGGCGGCGCUGUCUCCAGCAGAGGCUCAGUGAAAUCGAAAUCGCUGUGAAGAUGCAGUGUACCCGCGGCUAGACGGAAAGACCCCGUGAACCUUUACUGCAGCUUGACACUGAACUUUGACCUUACUUGUGUAGGAUAGGUGGGAGGCUUUGAAGCUGGAACGCUAGUUCCAGUGGAGCCGUCCUUGAAAUACCACCCUGGUAAUGUUGAGGUUCUAACUCUGUCCCGUGAUCCGGGACGAGGACCGUGUCUGGUGGGUAGUUUGACUGGGGCGGUCUCCUCCUAAAGAGUAACGGAGGAGUACGAAGGUGCGCUCAGCGUGGUCGGAAAUCACGCGUAGAGUAUAAAGGCAAAAGCGCGCUUAACUGCGAGACCCACAAGUCGAGCAGGUACGAAAGUAGGUCUUAGUGAUCCGGUGGUUCUGUAUGGAAGGGCCAUCGCUCAACGGAUAAAAGGUACUCUGGGGAUAACAGGCUGAUACCGCCCAAGAGUUCAUAUCGACGGCGGUGUUUGGCACCUCGAUGUCGGCUCAUCUCAUCCUGGGGCUGAAGCAGGUCCCAAGGGUAUGGCUGUUCGCCAUUUAAAGAGGUACGCGAGCUGGGUUUAGAACGUCGUGAGACAGUUCGGUCCCUAUCUACCGUGGGCGCUGGAAAUUUGAGAGGAUCUGCUCCUAGUACGAGAGGACCAGAGUGGACGAACCUCUGGUGUACCGGUUGUGACGCCAGUCGCAUCGCCGGGUAGCUAUGUUCGGAAGGGAUAACCGCUGAAAGCAUCUAAGCGGGAAGCCUACCUCAAGAUAAGAUUUCCCUAGGACUUUAUGUCCUCUAAAGAGCCGUUCGAGACUAGGACGUUGAUAGGUUGGAUGUGGAAGCAUAGUGAUAUGUGAAGCUGACCAAUACUAAUUGCUCGUGAGGCUUGACUAUACAACACCC
This 2902-nucleotide ribosomal RNA is filed under the name Acinetobacter baumannii Naval-81. Its description in RNAcentral is "bacterial LSU rRNA". It matches the Rfam family "Bacterial large subunit ribosomal RNA". Lineage: Bacteria; Pseudomonadati; Pseudomonadota; Gammaproteobacteria; Moraxellales; Moraxellaceae. The record is from RNAcentral.